Molecule: long non-coding RNA, 1011 nt
Filed under: Capra hircus (goat)
Lineage: Eukaryota; Metazoa; Chordata; Mammalia; Artiodactyla; Bovidae
Description: lncRNA (ENSCHIG00010013798.1)
Source: RNAcentral
GUGGCUCAGAUUUUUCCGGGCGACCGCUUUUCGCAUAUCCAUCAUCUGCUUCUAACUUGGCCUCCAGCAAACCCUUGACUUGGGAUCUACCUUGUUGCUCAUUAACUAGAAGGAAUGCAGAGGGGGCUUUUAGGUGCUUUCAAGAACUUCGCUAUUGUAUCAGAGCUGAUUUAUGGUCCUGCUUUUACAGCUCCAACUUGGUUCAGUUUCCCCAAAGAAGCGGAGGUCACUCCCUGCACACCGAUCACUCACGGAUCCCCAGUGAGGCACAAAGGAAGGGGAAACUCGGUCCCCAUGAGGGCCGUGGCUUCUCCUCCCCGCUCAAGAGUCCUGGAUAAACCUGGCAAACUGGGGUUCUGCAGAGGCCAUUGCCCCAGAAGAGCCUUUUCCCUUUGUGCAUUUCUUUACCUGGGCUGUGGACAGUCUGUGCAAAUGCACGGUCUCCACUUGGGUGCAUUGCUAAAAGAGUUUAGGGAGACACCAUGCGUGACCACACAGAAACUCACACGCUCAGGCAAUUGCAUAAUACUGAGUGGGCCAAAAAGUUUGCUCGGGUUUAUCCGACUGGUACAUCCAAGACAACGAACAGCACAGCAUCCAUCUCAGCCUUGGACCCUGAAGGAAAAGCGAUCCCACACGCAGGACCAAUUCUGCCGCAACCAGCCCUCCCCCGCCCCUCCAUCCUACGGUGGCAGACCAGAGCCAGCGCUGCUUAUUACAGCCUUUACCUCCAGGUGUCACUGCAGAAGAGGAGUAGGAGUAGGAUUAACGAGAACAACAGAAGUUGAGGUGUUGUGCUUGAUGGUGAGGCUCACAAAACAGCCUGGAGAAUGGAUCGAGGACUCCUUCUUUAACGAGUUUGUGUCUUGUCUCAUAAAGCAUUCAGGAAGACUUCUGCUUCUCUUUGUUCUACAGGUAAGACAGUGCAGUGGAAAGGCCCAAAUCUGGAAACUGCACUGCCGAAGGGCUGGUUCUCUUUUGGAAAAUAACAUACAUUUGAGUGACUUCUAA